This 235-nucleotide ribosomal RNA is filed under the name uncultured bacterium. RNAcentral describes it as "partial 16S ribosomal RNA". It matches the Rfam family "Bacterial small subunit ribosomal RNA", at positions 99 to 334 of the family's 1533-position model. The record is from RNAcentral.
CAGACGGGUGAGUAACACGUGGUCAACCUACCGCUUUGUGGGGGAUAACCAGCCGAAAGGUUGGCUAAUACCGCAUACGUCGGGGCCGGCAUCGGCCUUUGAUAAAAGGAGCAAUCCGCAAGGUGACGGGACCGCGUCCCAUUAGCUAGUUGGUGAGGUAAUGGCCCACCAAGGCUCCGAUGGGUAGCUGGUUUGAGAGAGCGACCAGCCACACUGGAACUGAGAAACGGUCCAG